Molecule: ribosomal RNA, 198 nt
Filed under: uncultured bacterium
Lineage: Bacteria
Description: partial 16S ribosomal RNA
Rfam family: Bacterial small subunit ribosomal RNA
Source: RNAcentral
UAGACUGCUAAUACCGCAUAAGCGCACAGAAUCGCAUGAUUCGGUGUGAAAAACUCCGGUGGUAUGAGAUGGACCCGCGUCUGAUUAGCUAGUUGGUGGGGUAAAGGCCUACCAAGGCGACGAUCAGUAGCCGACCUGAGAGGGUGAUCGGCCACAUUGGGACUGAGACACGGCCCAAACUCCUACGGGAGGCAGCAG